RNAcentral lists this ribosomal RNA (498 nucleotides) under uncultured Desulfobulbus sp. RNAcentral's name for it is "bacterial SSU rRNA". It matches the Rfam family "Bacterial small subunit ribosomal RNA", at positions 904 to 1382 of the family's 1533-position model. The record is from RNAcentral. Lineage: Bacteria; Pseudomonadati; Thermodesulfobacteriota; Desulfobulbia; Desulfobulbales; Desulfobulbaceae.
GCCAGCCGCUCAGAACUACAAGGAAUUGCGGGCCCGGCACAAGCGUGGAGUAUGUGGUUUAAUUCGAUGCAACGCGAAGAACCUUACCUGGUCUUGACAUCCCGGAGACCCUUAGGAACUAGGGGUGCUUCCAUCUGGAAGAAUCUGGAGACAGGUGCUGCAUGGCUGUCGUCAGCUCGUGUCGUGAGAUGUUGGGUUAAGUCCCGCAACGAGCGCAACCCUUGCCUUUAGUUGCCAGCAGUUCGGCUGGGCACUCUAAAGGGACUGCCGGUGUUAAACCGGAGGAAGGUGGGGAUGACGUCAAGUCCUCAUGGCCUUUAUGACCAGGGCUACACACGUACUACAAUGGCCGAUACAAAGGGCAGCGACACUGCGAGGUGAAGCCAAUCCCGUAAAAUCGGUCUCAGUCCGGAUUGGAGUCUGCAACUCGACUCCAUGAAGUUGGAAUCGCUAGUAAUCGUGGAUCAGCAUGCCACGGUGAAUACGUUCCCGGGCCUU